Biomphalaria pfeifferi is the source of this 248-nucleotide non-coding RNA. The record is from the annotation of a GenBank genome assembly. Lineage: Eukaryota; Metazoa; Mollusca; Gastropoda; Planorbidae.
UUUUGAGCUAACAUUCCAGUGAAGGAUGACCUUCCACCAUUUUUUUUUUUGAAAGUGAAAACUCACCAGCAAAUUAUGGCUUCAAAAUUUUCCUGCAGAACUUAGUCCAGAUUUGAGACAUGGGUUUUCAAGAUGCUUAAUUAUUAAAGUUUGUUUGUGUUCAAGCUUUGAAUAAUGUAUUGUUUCUGAUUUUUGUCCUCAACUACAUAAUGCACUCACCUAUUUCUAAUUCUCAAGAAAAAUGUAUU